Molecule: ribosomal RNA, 371 nt
Filed under: uncultured Aquabacterium sp.
Lineage: Bacteria; Pseudomonadati; Pseudomonadota; Betaproteobacteria; Burkholderiales; Sphaerotilaceae
Description: bacterial SSU rRNA
Rfam family: Bacterial small subunit ribosomal RNA
Source: RNAcentral
GUAGGGUGCGAGCGUUAAUCGGAAUUACUGGGCGUAAAGCGUGCGCAGGCGGCUUUGCAAGACAGAGGUGAAAUCCCCGGGCUCAACCUGGGAACUGCCUUUGUGACUGCAAGGCUAGAGUACGGCAGAGGGGGAUGGAAUUCCGCGUGUAGCAGUGAAAUGCGUAGAUAUGCGGAGGAACACCGAUGGCGAAGGCAAUCCCCUGGGCCUGUACUGACGCUCAUGCACGAAAGCGUGGGGAGCAAACAGGAUUAGAUACCCUGGUAGUCCACGCCCUAAACGAUGUCAACUGGUUGUUGGACGGCUUGCUGUUCAGUAACGAAGCUAACGCGUGAAGUUGACCGCCUGGGGAGUACGGCCGCAAGGUUGAA